UCCCGUGUCUGGCGUGUGCCUUCCGUGUUUACGUUUUCUGGAGAGUCGGGUUGCUCGGGAUUGCAGCCUGAAUGGGAGGUAAAUUUCUCUCAAAGCUAAAUACUGGCGAGAGACCGAUAGCGAACAAGUACCGUGAGGGAAAGAUGCAAAGAACUUUGAAAAGAGAGUUAAAAAGUACCUGAACUUGUUGGGGGGAAAGCGUUUGCCUCCAGUGUGCCGCGUAUGACUCAGCCUCCCUUGGAGGUGCACUUUGUGCGCGGCGGUCAGGGUGGGUUUGCUUGGGCGUUGACGGUCCCCUUGAGGUCUUCGGGCAACGGGGUGGCUUUUGCGUCCGCGCGGACCGAGGCUCGCUCGCAUCGCGCGUCGGUGGAUCGUGUGUGCGUCUGACAAGCAACUUGUCUUCGUACAGCGUGAAUCCCUAGUGCGUGGUUAGCGUGACCCUGACGAAAUGGUGGCAACCGACCCGUCUAGAAACACGGACCAAGGAGUCUGACGACUGCGCGAGUCUUCGGGUGGCAACCCCGUGGGCGUAAUGAAAGUGACUUGGCCUUCAGGGCCGACCGACCGUGAUCUUUUGUGAAUGGUUUGAGUACGAGCGUAGUUGCCGGGACCCGAAAGAUGGUGAACUAUGCCUGAGUAGGGUGAAGCCUGAAGAAAUUCAGGUGGAGGCUCGUAGCGAUACUGACGUGCAAAUCGUUCGUCGAACUUGGGUAUAGGGGCGAAAGACUAAUCGAACCAUCUAGUAGCUGGUUCCCUCCGAAGUUUCCCUCAGGAUAGCUGGAGCUCGUGAUUCAGUUUUGU
This 801-nucleotide ribosomal RNA is filed under the name Pavlova sp. EMB-2011. RNAcentral describes it as "eukaryotic LSU rRNA". It matches the Rfam family "Eukaryotic large subunit ribosomal RNA", at positions 219 to 1004 of the family's 3401-position model. The record is from RNAcentral. Lineage: Eukaryota; Haptophyta; Pavlovophyceae; Pavlovales; Pavlovaceae.